RNAcentral lists this ribosomal RNA (1397 nucleotides) under metagenome. RNAcentral describes it as "bacterial LSU rRNA". It matches the Rfam family "Bacterial large subunit ribosomal RNA", at positions 1497 to 2925 of the family's 2925-position model. The record is from RNAcentral.
CAAGGAAAGACCGGUGCAAGCAGGACAGUAGCCAUGCAGGCAAAUCCGUGUGGCAAUACGAAGGCGUGACGCGGACCGAAAUAAAGUAGGGAAGCAUGUGAGCCAUGUGCCAAGAAAAGCCGCUAUAGAUCAUAUCGUACCCGUACCGUAAACCGACACAGGUAGAUGAGGAGAGAAUCCUAAGGCCGACGGGAGAAGUAUUGUUAAGGAACUCGGCUAAAUGACCCCGUAACUUCGGGAGAAGGGGUGCCCACGCGAGUGGGCCGCAGAGAAUAGGCUCAAGCAACUGUUUAGCAAAAACACAGGUCUAUGCGAAACCGAAAGGUGAGGUAUAUGGGCUGACGCCUGCCCGGUGCUGGAAGGUUAAGAGGAGGAGUCAGGCAACGAAGCUCCGAAUUUAAGCCCCAGUAAACGGCGGCCGUAACUAUAACGGUCCUAAGGUAGCGAAAUUCCUUGUCGGGUAAGUUCCGACCCGCACGAAAGGCGUAAUGAUUUGAGCACUGUCUCGACAAUGCACCCGGUGAAAUUGAAGUACCAGUGAAGAUGCUGGUUACCUGCGCCAGGACGGAAAGACCCCAUGGAGCUUUACUCCAGUUUGAUACUGGGAUUUGAUACUGAAUGUACAGGAUAGGUGGGAGGCUGAGAAGCGUGGACGCCAGUCUGCGGUGAGCCGCUGUUGGGAUACCACCCUUUGAGUAUUGGAUUUCUAACCUGCGCCCGUGACCCGGGCGGGGGACAAUGUCUGACGGGGAGUUUGACUGGGGCGGUCGCCUCCGAAAGGGUAUCGGAGGCGCUCAAAGGUUCCCUCAGAAUGGUUGGAAACCAUUCGCAGAGUGCAAAGGCAGAAGGGAGCUUGACUGUGACACCGACGGGUGGAGCAGGUACGAAAGUAGGACUUAGUGAUCCGGUGGUAUGAAAGUGGGAUUGCCAUCGCUCAACGGAUAAAAGCUACCCUGGAUAACAGGCUUAUCACUCCCAAGAGUUCACAUCGACGGAGUGGUUUGGCACCUCGAUGUCGGCUCAUCGCAUCCUGGGGCUGUAGCAGGUCCCAAGGGUUGGGCUGUUCGCCCAUUAAAGCGGUACGCGAGCUGGGUUCAGAACGUCGUGAGACAGUUCGGUCCCUAUCCGGCGCAGGCGUAGGAUAUUUGAGAGGAGCUGUCCUUAGUACGAGAGGACCGGGAUGGACAGACCGCUGGUGUAUCUGUUGGUGACCAACACCAUGGCAGAGUAGCCAAGUCUGGCAGGGAUAAACGCUGAAGGCAUCUAAGCGUGAAGCCCCCCUCAAGAUGAGAUAUCCCAAUAAGUAAGACCCCUUAGAGAGUAUGAGGUAGAUAGGCUUAAGGUGUAAGCAUAGUAAUAUGUUCAGCUGAUAAGUACUAAUAGGUCGAGGGCUUAUC